AUUAAGGUGGCUUUUGGGCUGUCGCAGAUGGAUGAGCCUGCGUUGGAUUAGCUAGUUGGUGGGGUAAGGGCUUACCAAGGCUACGAUCCAUAGCUGAUUUGAGAGGAUGAUCAGCCACAUUGGGACUGAGACACGGCCCAAACUCCUACGGGAGGCAGCAGUGAGGAAUAUUGGACAAUGGGGGCAACCCUGAUCCAGCAAUGCCAUGUGUGUGAAGAAGGCCUUAGGGUUGUAAAGCACUUUAGUUGGGGAAGAAAGCUUUGAGGUUAAUAGCCUUGAGGAAGGACGUUACCCAAAGAAUAAGCACCGGCUAACUCCGUGCCAGCAGCCGCGGUAAUACGGGGGGUGCAAGCGUUAAUCGGAAUUACUGGGCGUAAAGGGUCUGUAGGUGGUUUGUUAAGUCAGAUGUGAAAGCCCAGGGCUCAACCUUGGAACUGCAUUUGAUACUGGCAAACUAGAGUACGGUAGAGGAAUGGGGAAUUUCUGGUGUAGCGGUGAAAUGCGUAGAGAUCAGAAGGAACACCAAUGGCGAAGGCAACAUUCUGGACCGAUACUGACACUGAGGGACGAAAGCGUGGGGAUCAAACAGGAUUAGAUACCCUGGUAGUCCAUGCUGUAAACGAUGAGUACUAGCUGUUGGAGUCGGUGUAAAGGCUCUAGUGGCGCAGCUAACGCGAUAAGUACUCCGCCUGGGGACUACGGCCGCAAGGCUAAAACUCAAAGGAAUUGACGGGGACCCGCACAAGCGGUGGAGCAUGUGGUUUAAUUCGAUGCAACGCGAAGAACCUUACCUGGUCUUGACAUCCUGCGAGCUUUCUAGAGAUAGAUUGGUGCCUUCGGGAACGCAGUGACAGGUGCUGCACGGCUGUUGUCAGCUCGUGUUGUGAAAUGUUGGGUUAAGUCCCGCAACGAGCGCAACCCCUAUUGAUAGUUACCAUCAUUAAGUUGGGUACUCUAUUGAGACUGCCGCUGACAAGGCGGAGGAAGGUGGGGACGACGUCAAGUCAUCAUGGCCCUUACGACCAGGGCUACCACGUGCUACAAUGGGUAUUACAGAGGGCUGCGAAAGAGCAUCUGGAC
Molecule: ribosomal RNA, 1080 nt
Filed under: Francisella endosymbiont of Hyalomma lusitanicum
Lineage: Bacteria; Pseudomonadati; Pseudomonadota; Gammaproteobacteria; Thiotrichales; Francisellaceae
Description: bacterial SSU rRNA
Rfam family: Bacterial small subunit ribosomal RNA
Source: RNAcentral